GAUGAACGCUGGCGGCGUGCCUAAUACAUGCAAGUCGAGCGAACGGACCCUACUCUCGCUUCUCUCAUGUUAGCGGCGGACGGGUGAGUCACACGUGGUUAACCUUCCUCUACGACUUAGAUAUCUUCGACAAACCCUAGCUCAUACCGGGUACUAUUUUUAGCCUCAUGGUUCAAAAGUUAUAUACGUUCUUGCUGUCACUUCUAGCUAUAUCCGCGCUGCAUUAGCUAUUUGGUAAGGUAACGGCUUACCGAGGCAACGAUGCAUAGCCGACCUGGGAGGGUGAAGGGCGACACUGGAAGUGGGACGCGGUACAGACUCCUAGGGGAGGCAGAGGUAGGGAAUGGACGGAGAAGGGGGAAAGACUGAAGGAGGAACGCCGGGUGAGUGAUGAGGGGCUGCGGAUCGUAAAACGCUGUUAUGAGGGAAGAACAUAUGUGUAAGUAACGGAGCACAUCGUGACGGUACCUAGUCAGAAAGCCACGGCUAACUACGUG
RNAcentral lists this ribosomal RNA (497 nucleotides) under uncultured bacterium. RNAcentral describes it as "partial 16S ribosomal RNA". It matches the Rfam family "Bacterial small subunit ribosomal RNA", at positions 28 to 507 of the family's 1533-position model. The record is from RNAcentral.